Molecule: ribosomal RNA, 301 nt
Filed under: uncultured bacterium
Lineage: Bacteria
Description: partial 16S ribosomal RNA
Rfam family: Bacterial small subunit ribosomal RNA
Source: RNAcentral
CAGCAGCCGCGGGAAUACGAAGGGUGCAAGCGUUAAUCGGAAUUACUGGGCUUAAAGCGCGUGUAGGCGGGACGGCACGUCGACUGCUGAAAUCCCUCGGCUUAACCGAGGAAGUGGCGUCGAUACGACCGUCCUGGAGGAACGUAGGGGGACCUGGAACUUCCGGUGGAGCGGUGAAAUGCGUUGAGAUCGGAAGGAACGCCCGCGGCGAAAGCGAGGUCCUGGACGUUUUCUGACGCUGAGACGCGAAAGCUAGGGGAGCGAACGGGAUUAGAUACCCCAGUAGUCCCUGUCUCUUAUA